Long non-coding RNA from Gopherus evgoodei (Goodes thornscrub tortoise), 92 nucleotides. RefSeq lists it as uncharacterized. The record is from RefSeq and is a predicted model, not a curated record. The transcript is spliced from 3 exons. NCBI's taxonomy places the organism in Eukaryota, Metazoa, Chordata, Testudines, Testudinidae.
CCAAAGGUCCAUCUAGCCCAUUAUCCUGUCUUCCGACAGUGGCCAAUGCCGGAUGCUCCAGAGAGAAUGAGCAAAACAGAUAAUAAUAAAGU